GCUGAGACUAGAGGACUGCUUGAGCCCAGGAGUUCUGGGCCGUGGGGCACUGCCCGAUGGGGUGUCUGCACUAAGUUCCGCGUCAGUAUGGUGACCUUCCAGGAGCGGAGAACCACCAGGUUGCCUAAGGAGGGGUGAACCGGCCCAGGUCAGAAAUGGAGCAGGUCAGAACUCCCAUGCUGAUCAAAACUUGCUUACUUAUAAAUAUUAAGUAUCAUGAU
Molecule: small RNA, 221 nt
Filed under: Sus scrofa (pig)
Lineage: Eukaryota; Metazoa; Chordata; Mammalia; Artiodactyla; Suidae
Description: Metazoan signal recognition particle RNA (ENSSSCG00070028261.1)
Rfam family: Metazoan signal recognition particle RNA (bases 74-186)
About the family: The signal recognition particle (SRP) is a universally conserved ribonucleoprotein. It is involved in the co-translational targeting of proteins to membranes. The eukaryotic SRP consists of a 300-nucleotide 7S RNA and six proteins: SRPs 72, 68, 54, 19, 14, and 9.
Source: RNAcentral